This 74-nucleotide transfer RNA is filed under the name Nanobdellati archaeon. RNAcentral describes it as "tRNA-Thr". It matches the Rfam family "tRNA". From Rfam's summary of the family: Transfer RNA (tRNA) molecules are approximately 80 nucleotides in length. Their secondary structure includes four short double-helical elements and three loops (D, anti-codon, and T loops). Further hydrogen bonds mediate the characteristic L-shaped molecular structure. tRNAs have two regions of fundamental functional importance: the anti-codon, which is responsible for specific mRNA codon recognition, and the 3' end, to which the tRNAs corresponding amino acid is attached (by aminoacyl-tRNA synthetases). tRNAs cope with the degeneracy of the genetic code in two manners: having more than one tRNA (with a specific anti-codon) for a particular amino acid; and 'wobble' base-pairing, i.e. permitting non-standard base-pairing at the 3rd anti-codon position. Lineage: Archaea; Nanobdellati. The record is from RNAcentral.
GCCCUUAUAGCUCAGUCCGGCAGAGCGGCUGUUUCGUAAACAGCAGGUCAGAGGUUCAAAUCCUCUUGGGGGCA